AAUAAAAAGAAAAUUUCUUCAAACAUUUUUUUGAGAGGAUUAAUAUUCAACAGCAUAGUGAAUUGCUCAAAGGCAAACAUUUUUUUUAAAGUUCAUUAGACCACAUUCAUUCUGUGUCAGAAACCUAUGCUGUGUCAACUAUUUAAUCACAAUCCAAAUUUAGAGCUGAAUCAGCUUGAAUGUUGUGUCCAUACUUGCCCC
Molecule: long non-coding RNA, 201 nt
Filed under: Mytilus galloprovincialis (Mediterranean mussel)
Lineage: Eukaryota; Metazoa; Mollusca; Bivalvia; Mytilida; Mytilidae
Source: RNAcentral